GAUGAACGCUGGCGGCGUGCCUAAUACAUGCAAGUAGAACGCUGAAGCUUGGUGCUUGCACCGAGCGGAUGAGUUGCGAACGGGUGAGUAACGCGUAGGUAACCUGCCUCUUAGCGGGGGAUAACUAUUGGAAACGAUAGCUAAUACCGCAUAAAAGUUGACAUUGCAUGAUGUUGAUUUGAAAGAUGCAAUUGCAUCACUAAGAGAUGGACCUGCGUUGUAUUAGCUAGUUGGUGAAGUAACGGCUCACCAAGGCGACGAUACAUAGCCGACCUGAGAGGGUGAUCGGCCACACUGGGACUGAGACACGGCCCAGACUCCUACGGGAGGCAGCAGUAGGGAAUCUUCGGCAAUGGGGGCAACCCUGACCGAGCAACGCCGCGUGAGUGAAGAAGGUUUUCGGAUCGUAAAGCUCUGUUGUAAGAGAAGAACGAGUGUGAGAGUGGAAAGUUCGCACUGUGACGGUAACUUACCAGAAAGGGACGGCUAACUACGUGCCAGCAGCCGCGGUAAUACGUAGGUCCCGAGCGUUAUCCGGAUUUAUUGGGCGUAAAGCGAGCGCAGGCGGUUAGAUAAGUCUGAAGUUAAAGGCUGUGGCUUAACCAUAGUACGCUUUGGAAACUGUUUAACUUGAGUGCAGAAGGGGAGAGUGGAAUUCCAUGUGUAGCGGUGAAAUGCGUAGAUAUAUGGAGGAACACCGGUGGCGAAAGCGGCUCUCUGGUCUGUAACUGACGCUGAGGCUCGAAAGCGUGGGGAGCAAACAGG
RNAcentral lists this ribosomal RNA (765 nucleotides) under uncultured Streptococcus sp. RNAcentral's name for it is "bacterial SSU rRNA". It matches the Rfam family "Bacterial small subunit ribosomal RNA", at positions 28 to 776 of the family's 1533-position model. Lineage: Bacteria; Bacillati; Bacillota; Bacilli; Lactobacillales; Streptococcaceae. The record is from RNAcentral.